AGGGCACCACCAGGAGUGGAGCCUGCGGCUUAAUUUGACUCAACACGGGAAAUCUCACCAGGCCCGGACACCGGAAGGAUUGACAGAUUGAGAGCUCUUUCUUGAUUCGGUGGGUGGUGGUGCAUGGCCGUUCUUAGUUGGUGGAGCGACUUGUCUGGUUAAUUCCGAUAACGAACGAGACUCUGGCCUACUAACUAGACGUUGGAUCAUUUAUGGUCCUUCGCUGCCUCUUAGAGGGACGGGCGGCGUUCAGCCGCACGAGAAUGAGCAAUAACAGGUCUGUGAUGCCCUUAAAUGUUCUGGGCUGCACGCGCGCUUCACUGAAGGAAUCAGCGUGCGUAAUACCUAGCUCGGAAGAACCGGGUAACCCAAGUUAAUUCUUUCGAGCUUGGGAUAGUUAAUUGCAAUUAUUUCCCUUAAACGAGGAAUCCCAGUAAGUGCGGGUAUAAGCUCGCGUUCUUUACGUCCCUGCCCUUUGUCAAACCGGCCGUCGCUACUACCGAUUGGAAGACUUAGAAG
Molecule: ribosomal RNA, 519 nt
Filed under: uncultured eukaryote
Lineage: Eukaryota
Description: bacterial SSU rRNA
Rfam family: Eukaryotic small subunit ribosomal RNA
Source: RNAcentral